UACGUAGGGACCAAGCGUUGUUCGGAUUUACUGGGCGUAAAGGGCGCGUAGGCGGCAAUUCAAGUCAUCUGUGAAAUCUCCGGGCUUAACUCGGAAUGGUCAGGUGAUACUGCUUUGCUAGAGUGCAGAAGGGGCAAUCGGAAUUCUUGGUGUAGCGGUGAAAUGCGUAGAUAUCAAGAGGAACACCUGAGGUGAAGACGGGUUGCUGGGCUGACACUGACGCUGAGGCGCGAAAGCUAGGGGGAGCAAACGGGG
Molecule: ribosomal RNA, 255 nt
Filed under: uncultured bacterium
Lineage: Bacteria
Description: partial 16S ribosomal RNA
Rfam family: Bacterial small subunit ribosomal RNA
Source: RNAcentral